GUCCCUGUAGAGCAAUGGAUAGCUCCCUGAUCUUCUAAUUCAAAGGCCGUGCGUUUGAAUCCCACCUGGGAUG
Non-coding RNA from Trichonephila clavipes, 73 nucleotides. Lineage: Eukaryota; Metazoa; Arthropoda; Arachnida; Araneae; Nephilidae. The record is from the annotation of a GenBank genome assembly.